RNAcentral lists this ribosomal RNA (465 nucleotides) under Vreelandella stevensii. Its description in RNAcentral is "partial 16S ribosomal RNA". It matches the Rfam family "Bacterial small subunit ribosomal RNA", at positions 338 to 795 of the family's 1533-position model. Lineage: Bacteria; Pseudomonadati; Pseudomonadota; Gammaproteobacteria; Oceanospirillales; Halomonadaceae. The record is from RNAcentral.
CCUACGGGUGGCUGCAGUGGGGAAUAUUGGACAAUGGGGGGAACCCUGAUCCAGCCAUGCCGCGUGUGUGAAGAAGGCCCUCGGGUUGUAAAGCACUUUCAGUGAGGAAGAACGCCUGGUGGUUAAUACCCAUCAGGAAAGACAUCACUCACAGAAGAAGCACCGGCUAACUCCGUGCCAGCAGCCGCGGUAAUACGGAGGGUGCGAGCGUUAAUCGGAAUUACUGGGCGUAAAGCGCGCGUAGGUGGCUUGAUAAGCCGGUUGUGAAAGCCCCGGGCUCAACCUGGGUACGGCAUCCGGAACUGUCAAGCUAGAGUGCAGGAGAGGAAGGUAGAAUUCCCGGUGUAGCGGUGAAAUGCGUAGAGAUCGGGAGGAAUACCAGUGGCGAAGGCGGCCUUCUGGACUGACACUGACACUGAGGUGCGAAAGCGUGGGUAGCAAACAGGAUUAGAUACCCUGGUAGUC